Molecule: ribosomal RNA, 489 nt
Filed under: uncultured bacterium
Lineage: Bacteria
Description: partial 16S ribosomal RNA
Rfam family: Bacterial small subunit ribosomal RNA
Source: RNAcentral
GAUGAACGCUAGCUACAGGCUUAACACAUGCAAGUCGAGGGGCAGCAUGGUCUUAGCUUGCUAAGGCCGAUGGCGACCGGCGCACGGGUGAGUAACACGUAUCCAACCUGCCGUCUACUCUUGGACAGCCUUCUGAAAGGAAGAUUAAUACAAGAUGGCAUCAUGAGUCCGCAUGUUCACAUGAUUAAAGGUAUUCCGGUAGACGAUGGGGAUGCGUUCCAUUAGAUAGUAGGCGGGGUAACGGCCCACCUAGUCUUCGAUGGAUAGGGGUUCUGAGAGGAAGGUCCCCGACAUUGGAACUGAGACACGGUCCAAACUCCUACGGGAAGCAGCAGUGAGGAAUAUUGGUCAAUGAGCGAGAGCCUGAACCAGCCAAGUAGCGUGAAGGAUGCCUGGCCUAUGGGUUGUAAACUUCUUUUAUAAAGGAAUAAAGUCGGGUAUGGAUACCCGUUUGCAUGUACUUGAUGAAUAAGGAUCGGCUAACUCCGU